RNAcentral lists this ribosomal RNA (475 nucleotides) under uncultured bacterium. RNAcentral's name for it is "bacterial SSU rRNA". It matches the Rfam family "Bacterial small subunit ribosomal RNA", at positions 29 to 524 of the family's 1533-position model. The record is from RNAcentral.
AACGAACGCUGGCGGCAUGCCUAACACAUGCAAGUCGAACGAGACCUUCGGGUCUAGUGGCGCACGGGUGCGUAACGCGUGGGAAUCUGCCCUUGGGUACGGAAUAACAGUUAGAAAUGACUGCUAAUACCGUAUAAUGACUUCGGUCCAAAGAUUUAUCGCCCAGGGAUGAGCCCGCGUAGGAUUAGCUUGUUGGUGAGGUAAAGGCUCACCAAGGCGACGAUCCUUAGCUGGUCUGAGAGGAUGAUCAGCCACACUGGGACUGAGACACGGCCCAGACUCCUACGGGAGGCAGCAGUGGGGAAUCUUGCGCAAUGGGCGAAAGCCUGACGCAGCGACGCCGCGUGAGGGAUGACGGUUUUCGAUCGUAAACUACUGUUGUUAGGGGAAGAACAAGUACCGGAGUAACUGCCGGUACCUUGACGGUACCUAACCAGAAAGCCACGGCUAACUACGUGCCAGCAGCCGCGGUAAU